GAUGAACGCUGGCGGCGUGCCUAAUACAUGCAAGUCGAGCGAACAGACGAGGAGCUUGCUCCUCUGACGUUAGCGGCGGACGGGUGAGUAACACGUGGAUAACCUACCUAUAAGACUGGGAUAACUUCGGGAAACCGGAGCUAAUACCGGAUAAUAUAUUGAACCGCAUGGUUCAAUAGUGAAAGACGGUUUUGCUGUCACUUAUAGAUGGAUCCGCGCCGCAUUAGCUAGUUGGUAAGGUAACGGCUUACCAAGGCAACGAUGCGUAGCCGACCUGAGAGGGUGAUCGGCCACCUUGGAAGUGGGACGCGGACCAGACGCCUACGGGAGGCAGCAGUCGGGAAUGUGCGGCAAUGGGCGAGAGCAUGAAGCAGCAAGGCCGAGUGAGUGAUGAAAGUCUUCGGAUCGUAAAACUCUGUUAUUAGGGAAGAACAAAUGUGUAAGUAACUAUGCACGUCUUGACGGUACCUAAUCAGAAAGCCACGGCUAACUACGUG
RNAcentral lists this ribosomal RNA (497 nucleotides) under uncultured bacterium. RNAcentral's name for it is "partial 16S ribosomal RNA". It matches the Rfam family "Bacterial small subunit ribosomal RNA", at positions 28 to 507 of the family's 1533-position model. The record is from RNAcentral.